This 253-nucleotide ribosomal RNA is filed under the name Oscillibacter ruminantium GH1. RNAcentral's name for it is "partial 16S ribosomal RNA". It matches the Rfam family "Bacterial small subunit ribosomal RNA", at positions 524 to 776 of the family's 1533-position model. The record is from RNAcentral. Lineage: Bacteria; Bacillati; Bacillota; Clostridia; Eubacteriales; Oscillospiraceae.
UACGUAGGUGGCAAGCGUUGUCCGGAUUUACUGGGUGUAAAGGGCGUGUAGCCGGGUGUGUAAGUCAGAUGUGAAAUCUGGAGGCUCAACCUCCAAACUGCAUUUGAAACUGCGCAUCUUGAGUAUCGGAGAGGUAAUCGGAAUUCCUAGUGUAGCGGUGAAAUGCGUAGAUAUUAGGAAGAACACCAGUGGCGAAGGCGGAUUACUGGACGACAACUGACGGUGAGGCGCGAAAGCGUGGGGAGCAAACAGG